RNAcentral lists this ribosomal RNA (198 nucleotides) under uncultured soil bacterium. RNAcentral's name for it is "partial 16S ribosomal RNA". It matches the Rfam family "Bacterial small subunit ribosomal RNA", at positions 334 to 524 of the family's 1533-position model. The record is from RNAcentral.
UACUCCUACGGGAGGCAGCAGUGGGGAAUAUUGCACAAUGGGCGCAAGCCUGAUGCAGCCAUGCCGCGUGUGUGAAGAAGGCCUUCGGGUUGUAAAGCACUUUCAGCGAGGAGGAAGGUGGUGAGCUUAAUACGCUCAUCAAUUGACGUUACUCGCAGAAGAAGCACCGGCUAACUCCGUGCCAGCAGCCGCGGUAAU